CUUUUCAACACCCUGAGACUCAGUGUUACUACAGAAUCCUUGCCUAGGGAGAAUGUGAAAAUGAUACCUCCUGCCAAGCACUUCCAAAGCUAUUCACAUAUUCAAAAGCAAAUGAAGACACCACAGCUAAUCUCUGGGAGACAUCCUGUGCAGCUUGGUGAUGCCCAACAAAUGUAUCAAUUUGGUUGAAACAGAACCACGCAGGUACACAUCCAGAUGGCCAGUUCCUGCCUUAACUGAUGACAUUCCACCACAAAAGAAGUGAAAAUGGCCUGUUCCUGCCUUAACUGAUGACAUUGUCUUCUGAAAUUCCUUCUGGCUCAUCCUGGUUCAAAAGCUCCCCCACUGAGUACCUUGUGACCCCCCAACCCCUGCCCAUCAGAGAACAACCCCCCCUUUGAUUGUAAUUUUACUUUACCUACCCAAAUCUUAUAAAAAUGGGCCCACCCCUAUCUCCCUUCACUGACUCUCUUUUCAGACUCAGCCCGCCUGCACCCAGGUGAAACAAACAGCCUUGUUGAUCACACAAAGCCUGUUUGGUGGUCGCUUCACAUGGACGUGAGUGAAAUUUGGUGCCAUGACUCGGAUUGGGGAACCUCCCUUGGGAGAUCAAUCCCCUGUCCUCCUGCUCUUUGCUCCGUGAAAAAGAUCCACCUAUGACCUUGGGUCCUCAGACCCACCAGCCCAAGG
This 690-nucleotide long non-coding RNA is filed under the name Homo sapiens (human). RNAcentral's name for it is "HSALNT0097011". Lineage: Eukaryota; Metazoa; Chordata; Mammalia; Primates; Hominidae. The record is from RNAcentral.